UAGUACACGCGAGUCUGCAUGCAACAGCUCAAAUUUGAAAUCUGGCUCCUUUGGGAGUCCGAGUUGUAAUUUGCAGAGGGUGCUUUGGCAUAGGCGGCGGUCUAAGUUCCUUGGAACAGGACAUCGCAGAGGGUGAGAAUCCCGUACGUGGGCGCCUGCCUUUGCCGUGUAAAGCCCCUUCGACGAGUCGAGUUGUUUGGGAAUGCAGCUCAAAAUGGGUGGUGAGUUCCAUCUAAAGCUAAAUAUUGGCGAGAGACCGAUAGCGAACAAGUACCGUGAGGGAAAGAUGAAAAGCACUUUGGAAAGAGAGUUAAACAGUACGUGAAAUUGUUGAAAGGGAAACGAUUGAAGUCAGUCGUGACUGAGAGGCUCAGCCGGUUCUGCCGGUCUAUUCCCCUCAGUCGGGUCAACAUCAGUUUUGUCCGGUGGAUAAGGGCAGCAGGAAGGUGGCACCCUCGGGUGUGUUAUAGCCUGUUGUCGCAUACAUCGGAUGAGACUGAGGAAUGCAGCUCGCCUUUAUGGCCGGGGCCCGCCCACGUCCGAGCUUAGGAUGUUGACAUAAUGGCUUUAAACGACCCGUCUUGA
This 585-nucleotide ribosomal RNA is filed under the name uncultured Basidiomycota. Its description in RNAcentral is "eukaryotic LSU rRNA". It matches the Rfam family "Eukaryotic large subunit ribosomal RNA", at positions 81 to 657 of the family's 3401-position model. The record is from RNAcentral. Lineage: Eukaryota; Fungi; Basidiomycota.